UAUGUUUUGGUGUAGAGGCACACAAAGUUUUGAUCUUUGCGGGAUUAGUGCGAUUCUAAUAAAUAUAA
RNAcentral lists this transfer RNA (68 nucleotides) under Oplophorus typus. RNAcentral describes it as "tRNA-Gln". Lineage: Eukaryota; Metazoa; Arthropoda; Malacostraca; Decapoda; Oplophoridae. The record is from RNAcentral.